AUUGAACGCUGGCGGCAGGCCUAACACAUGCAAGUCGAACGAGUGGCGGACGGGUGAGUAAUGUCUGGGAAACUGCCUGAUGGAGGGGGAUAACUACUGGAAACGGUAGCUAAUACCGCAUACCAUCAGAUGUGCCCAGAUGGGAUUAGCUUGUUGGUGGGGUAACGGCUCACCAAGGCGACGAUCCCUAGCUGGGCUGAGAGGAUGACCAGCCACACGGGUACUGAGACACGGUCCAGACUCCUAUGUUAGGCAGCAGUGGGGAAGAUUGCACAUGGGUCGAAUGCCUGAGGCAGCCAUGCCGCGUGUAUGAAGAAGGCCUUAGGGUUGUAAAGUACUUGCAGCGGGGAGGCGUUACCCGCAGAAGAAGCACCGGCUAACUCCGUGCCAGCAGCCGCGGUAAUUC
This 406-nucleotide ribosomal RNA is filed under the name uncultured bacterium. RNAcentral describes it as "partial 16S ribosomal RNA". It matches the Rfam family "Bacterial small subunit ribosomal RNA", at positions 30 to 526 of the family's 1533-position model. The record is from RNAcentral.